AGACUAUUGAUGGUGUGGACACUCCUAAAUAAGAACCUUGAAGCAAUCCCAAGCAUGAUAGAGGUUUUCAUUAGGCUUUUGUUUGAAGCUCAAUAUCUCACUACGAAGUCU
Molecule: non-coding RNA, 111 nt
Organism: Capsicum annuum
Lineage: Eukaryota; Viridiplantae; Streptophyta; Magnoliopsida; Solanales; Solanaceae
Source: Rfam